AAAUAUUAAAAAUCAGAAAUAGAAACUAGAAUUUAUUUGGAGACUAGUGCAAUUGGUCCCAUAAUUUUUGGAUUAAAAAUGAAGAAGAUAUUGAUUUUUGAAAAUAAUUAGAAUUAAAAGAAAUAAAGAAAAUAGAAAUCAGAAAUUAAAAAAAAUGGAAAAAGGAGAAGCGUUGGAUCAGAAGCUCAUUAAUUGAGUUGGCGCAUCAAACGGAUCAUAU
This 220-nucleotide long non-coding RNA is filed under the name Lathyrus oleraceus (garden pea). RNAcentral describes it as "Pisum sativum (pea) long non-coding RNA (PSAT_LNC035320)". The record is from RNAcentral. Lineage: Eukaryota; Viridiplantae; Streptophyta; Magnoliopsida; Fabales; Fabaceae.